This 580-nucleotide unclassified non-coding RNA is filed under the name Schistocerca americana (American grasshopper). RNAcentral's name for it is "uncharacterized LOC124553909, transcript variant X1". Lineage: Eukaryota; Metazoa; Arthropoda; Insecta; Orthoptera; Acrididae. The record is from RNAcentral.
GCUGGUUCUGUUUGUGUGUGACGUAAUGCAGCAGAUUUUCACGGUUUAUCCGUGGGCCCAGGACUGUGGUGUUCCCCGGCAGGCCAGAGGCCGUGGGCGAUGGACUUCAGGAAUUACAACUGUCUCGUCAUAAAUACCUGGCCAGUGAGAUGGAGUUGUACCACUUCUAUCAGUCCAGACAUUUGUCAAAGAAGUGCAGUUUAUGAAUGACCAAGUGGAUGAAGCGGCCACACUCUCACCGGUCCAGAUAUUCCUCAAAGAAGAAGAAGGUGCAUAUUGUAAGGCAGAAGAGCCUGUGCUGGUCUCACUUGUCCCAGUGCUUCUCAAAGAAGAACAUGUGCUUGAUGAAUCGCCGGAGGACUUUGAAGUUGGCAGUCACCCAUUGCUAAUAAAUCUGAGUUUCUGAAGUGAAAGUCCAAAGAAGAGAAGACAGCAAGAAGUAGCUAUUUGUGUUUUUCAUGGUUUGUAGGCCUACUGGCGAAACUUGCUACGUAAAAAAAAAGUGAGUAACGCAUCAAGCUUGGUACCUCUAUGGUGAUGUGGAAAUCCGAGCAAUGUUAAUAAAGAAAUUAAUUUUGUG